Molecule: ribosomal RNA, 421 nt
Filed under: uncultured bacterium
Lineage: Bacteria
Description: bacterial SSU rRNA
Rfam family: Bacterial small subunit ribosomal RNA
Source: RNAcentral
GAGGAAUAUUGGACAAUGGGCGCAAGCCUGAUCCAGCCAUGCCGCGUGCAGGAAGAAGCAUCUAUGGUGUGUAAACUGCUUUUGUACGGGAAGAAACACUCCUUCGUGAAGGAGCUUGACGGUACCGUAAGAAUAAGGAUCGGCUAACUUCGUGCCAGCAGCCGCGGUAAUAUGGAGGAUCCAAGCGUUAUCCGGAAUCAUUGGGUUUAAAGGGUCCGUAGGCGGUUAAGUAAGUCAGUGGUGAAAGCACAGCGCUCAACGAUGGAACGGCCAUUGAUACUGCUAGACUUGAAUUAUUAAGAAGUAACUAGAAUAUGUAGUGUAGCGGUGAAAUGCUUAGAUAUUACAUGGAAUACCAAUUGCGAAGGCAGGUUACUACUAAUGGAUUGACGCUGAUGGACGAAAGCGUGGGGAGCGAACA